Molecule: ribosomal RNA, 253 nt
Filed under: uncultured bacterium
Lineage: Bacteria
Description: partial 16S ribosomal RNA
Rfam family: Bacterial small subunit ribosomal RNA
Source: RNAcentral
UACGAAGGGGGCUAGCGUUGCUCGGAAUCACUGGGCGUAAAGCGCACGUAGGCGGCUUUCUAAGUCAGGGGUGAAAUCCUGGAGCUCAACUCCAGAACUGCCUUUGAUACUGGGAAGCUCGAGUCCGGAAGAGGUGAGUGGAACUCCGAGUGUAGAGGUGAAAUUCGUAGAUAUUGGGAAGAACACCGGUGGCGAAGGCGGCGCUCUGGACCGAGACUGACGCUGAGGCGCGAAAGCGUGGGGAGCAAACAGG